RNAcentral lists this ribosomal RNA (99 nucleotides) under Theropithecus gelada (gelada). The record is from RNAcentral. Lineage: Eukaryota; Metazoa; Chordata; Mammalia; Primates; Cercopithecidae.
GUCUAUGGCCAUACCACCCUGAUCCGGGAAGCUAAGUAGGGUCAGGCCUGGCCAUUAUUUGGAUGGGAGACCACUUGAGAUUACAAGAUGCUGUAGUUU